Molecule: long non-coding RNA, 2395 nt
Organism: Triticum aestivum (bread wheat)
Lineage: Eukaryota; Viridiplantae; Streptophyta; Magnoliopsida; Poales; Poaceae
Exons: 3
Source: RefSeq, a predicted model, not a curated record
UUGGACGGAAGCAGCGGCGGCGUGACAAAGAAAAGAAGGAAGCGGCGGCGGCGUGACGCAGUCCGGAUCUCAAAGGACACGAGCCGGCCGGCUUGGUUACGAGGCUCAGGGCUUCUCGCCGCCACCGCCGCCCCCUGAUGUAGUACAUGGCGUACGGGUGGUUGCAAUCUGCUAUGCUCCAGUGAUUCCCGUGAUUCCGACGGCGUGGUCCUCUGCAUCCUCGGUCGUCUCCUCCUGAACAUCUGCCCAUCUCGCUUCACCAGGCCACGCCCGCAGCAAGCGGCACGCCAAGGCAGCCUUGAUCCUUCUUUCUUGUGGCCAAGGGAGUAAUCCAUGCCGGGGAGCAACAUGCACCAAUGAAGUUCCUGCAGAGCAGAGCACGGAGACCAUGGUGGCCGUCACGGUCGCCGUGACCGCUGGCGCCGGAUUUCUUCCUCCGGCAGAAAAAAAAAAGGUUCGCGCGCGCCAACUCAUACAGAUAGUGUGCGGGUUCUUUGGAUCGAGUACAGAGUUGGGAAAUUUGUUGUGGAUUUUGUGAGAUUGAUAUACCUAAGGUGUAGCCAUCUGCGUCUUUGAUUAUCCAUGAAGCUGCUCAAUAUAGAUGUGUUUUUUUGUCUGGAUACAUGCACCAGUUCCGCUCAGCACUGAUUCAUAUACUUUCGAGGUAAUUUAGGUGAACCUGGGUGAUUAAAUUUUGUCGUACUUCCAUGCUUGGUGGCACCAGAUCAAUUCAUCUCUACCACAUGACCUGAUGCUCUGUAUUUUUUGGGACUUAUUUGUCUUCUAGAAGAAGCUAGCUUUGAUGGAUUUAGGUGUGAUUUAUCUAGAAAAGGAAAACUGUACGAGGCAAGCCAAUGGCAAGAAAGACAAACAGGAUGAUGCCGGACUGUUGGAAGCUGACAUGCUGGAUCCAUGGUGGGCUGGUGCUUUGCAGAUGAACCGACUAAGAGAUUUGUGCGCUCGCCCAACAAGAAGGGACAUGUCGUCGACCUCUGCGAGCAAGCGAUGGUGGUGAGAGUCUGCAAUAGAGAACGGACUUGAAAACGGCGUCCACAGAUUGCAUUGUCAGAGGCGGUACCUUGUAGAGGCAAGGCCUAUGGGGCGGCAUCUAGGCCCCGAUGACGGCAACGAGAAGGUGUACAUUAGGUACAAAGCUACACAACCCGAGCACAGGAAACCAUACUCAUCCGCAACCCUCGCUGACCAACAGGUUGUUCUUCCGGUGCAAAAGCACUAGAGUCGAGUUAUGUCACCACCAUGAUGAUGAACGGCGACCCGUCUUUGAAAAUCAAACGAGCGGAAGCAGAAUGCCUUUUUUUAUACCGUUAUAGAGAUAUGUGAAGCAGAGCAGAUCAAUCGACAACAUAAAACAAGAUGUAGUGUGCAUCAUGGGCUGUGGGGAUUGUGUGGUUAAUCGGCUGUCGAAGCGACGAAGACGGAGUAUGCAUGUGAGCGUCAAUGGUAACGUAGAUCAGAUAAGAACGGGCUAUAUCUUGGCUUGGAGCUUCUCCCAUACAAUUGCGUCGUCUAGAGGAGUGGGUAAUUAGCUGCUUCUCUCCGUUCUUGGUUUUUCCAUAAAUCAAAACCUUGGCACAAUGCAUUGACACCAUAUCACCAUGAAAUCAUGAAGGUCAUCUGUAGAACUGUAGAUACAGCAGCCAUCAUACAGGAGGGGACCAACGAUGGUUUAGAGCAAAUAUGCAAUUUGCACAGGCUGGAUGUUUCCGGUUUACCUAUAAAUAGAUAAACACAUUUAUGCGCCUUAUUAUAUAAGUGAUUUAUGGCUACCUCCCAUUCAAUCUACUCUUUAUAUAUUUAAAGAUUUUAUGAAUGUUAAUUUUAUGCAAUGAAAAAAUUAGCAUGCUAUGAAAAAAUAGCGUGGCCAUUAAAAUAUGCUAUUUGUGUGCUAUAUCAUGCUAUAGCAUGCUAUUAGCGAGACAUUGUACACUGAUUUAUUUAGCGAGACAUUGCUUAGAACGAUAUAGCGAGUUAUUUGUUUUCACUGAUUUUAUGACCUCUUAUUAUAUGAUGUUCUUAAUUAAGUUCAUAUUUGUUUGCUGCAUUGCUUCCAUAUAGAUCAAUUAGUAUUUCUUUGUUGGCGUUCAGGAGUAUGCGACUUUCAGUCAGUACUGUUUCUACUUCCCUACUCUCUGUACUUUGUUGUGCUCUGCAACUAAAGGUUGUCAUGCUCUUAUUUCGGUGUAAAACAUAUCCUCUUAUGCUUACUGUUGCUCAGAUUCUUCCGAACUUACGUUAUAUGCAACGUCUCAUUUGUCCUCCAAAAGUUUGUUGUUUACUAACUACUUUGUCUGCUUGAAUAUUUCACGCUACUUAUCUGCAGGCAAACCUGAUUUGCUCUUCACAAUUUGCACGUUCUUGGUUGCUUAGUCUAAGG